Molecule: ribosomal RNA, 301 nt
Filed under: uncultured bacterium
Lineage: Bacteria
Description: partial 16S ribosomal RNA
Rfam family: Bacterial small subunit ribosomal RNA
Source: RNAcentral
CAGUAGCCGCGGUAAUACGAAGGGGGCUAGCGUUGCUCGGAAUUACUGGGCGUAAAGGGAGCGCAGGCGGAUCGUUAAGUUGGGGGUGAAAGCCCGGGGCUCAACCUCGGAACUGCCUUCAAUACUGGCGAUCUUGAGUAUGAGAGAGGUGUGUGGAACUCCGAGUGUAGAGGUGAAAUUCGUAGAUAUUCGGAAGAACACCAGUGGCGAAGGCGACACACUGGCUCAUUACUGACGCUGAGGCUCAAAAGCGUGGGGAGCAAACAGGAUUAGAUACCCCAGUAGUCCCUGUCUCUUAUAA